This 329-nucleotide ribosomal RNA is filed under the name uncultured eukaryote. RNAcentral's name for it is "partial 18S ribosomal RNA". It matches the Rfam family "Eukaryotic small subunit ribosomal RNA", at positions 1470 to 1796 of the family's 1831-position model. The record is from RNAcentral.
CCCUUAGAUGUCCUGGGCCGCACGCGCGCUACACUGAGUGUCUGAGAUACGAGUCUGCCUGGUCCGGCAAGGUCUAGGUAAUCGCUAAAAGACACAUCAUGCUUGGGAUAGAUUAUUGCAAAUAUUAAUCUUGAACGAGGAAUUCCUAGUAAGCGCAAGUCAACAGCUUGCGUUGAUUACGUCCCUGCCCUUUGUACACACCGCCCGUCGCUACUACUGAUUGGAUGUUUAAGCGAGGUUCUCGAACUGCUAGCGACUUAGCUUCGGUGAGGUCGCAGUGUGGGAAGUGAACCUAGCUUUGGUGUCUAGAGGAAGUAAAAGUCGUAGCA